This 242-nucleotide ribosomal RNA is filed under the name uncultured bacterium. RNAcentral's name for it is "partial 16S ribosomal RNA". It matches the Rfam family "Bacterial small subunit ribosomal RNA", at positions 57 to 305 of the family's 1533-position model. The record is from RNAcentral.
GCAAGUCGAGCGAGAAAGCACUUCGGUGCGAGUACAGCGGCGGACGGGUGAGUAACGCGUAGGAAUCUACCCAGUAGUGGGGGACAACAUGGUGAAAACCAUGCUAAUACCGCAUACGCCCUAAGGGGGAAAGCGGGGGCCAUUAGGCCUCGCGCUAUUGGAUGAGCCUGCGUCGGAUUAGCUAGUUGGUGGGGUAAAGGCCCACCAAGGCGACGAUCCGUAGCUGGUCUGAGAGGACGAUC